This 369-nucleotide ribosomal RNA is filed under the name uncultured organism. RNAcentral's name for it is "bacterial SSU rRNA". It matches the Rfam family "Bacterial small subunit ribosomal RNA", at positions 526 to 896 of the family's 1533-position model. The record is from RNAcentral.
CGGAGGGUGCGAGCGUUAUCCGGAAUUACUGGGUUUAAAGGGUGCGUAGGCGGCCAUGUAAGUCAGGAGUGAAAGUUUGCGGCUCAACCGUAAAAUUGCUUUUGAUACUGCAUGGCUGGAAUCAGGAUGAGGUCAGCGGAAUGUGGCAUGUAGCGGUGAAAUGCAUAGAUAUGCCAUAGAACACCAAUUGCGAAGGCAGCUGGCUAGACCUGUAUUGACGCUGAGGCACGAAAGCGUGGGGAGCGAGCAGGAUUAGAUACCCUGGUAGUCCACGCCCUAAACGAUGCUUACUCGACGUAUGAAGCUGGUCUUUGUGCGUCCAAGGGAAACCGUUAAGUAAGCCACCUGGGGAGUACGACCGCAAGGUUG